GACGAACGCUGGCGGCGUGCUUAACACAUGCAAGUCGAACGGAAAGGCCCUGCUUUUGUGGGGUGCUCGAGUGGCGAACGGGUGAGUAACACGUGAGUAACCUGCCCUUGACUUUGGGAUAACUUCAGGAAACUGGGGUAAUACCGGAUAGGAGGUCCUGCUGCAUGGGGGGGGGUGGGAAGUUUCGGCGGGUGGGGAUGGACUCGCGGCUUAUCAGCUUGUUGGUGGGGUAGUGGCUUGCCAAGGCUUUGACGGGUAGCCGGCCUGAGAGGGUGACCAGCCACAUUGGGACUGAGAUACGGCCCAGACUCCUACGGGAGGCAGCAGUGGGGAAUAUUGCACAAUGGGCGGAAGCCUGAUGCAGCAACGCCGCGUGCGGGAUGACGGCCUUCGGGUUGUAAACCGCUUUCGCCUGUGACGAAGCGUGAGUGACGGUAAUGGGUAAAGAAGCACCGGCUAACUACGUG
RNAcentral lists this ribosomal RNA (467 nucleotides) under uncultured bacterium. RNAcentral describes it as "partial 16S ribosomal RNA". It matches the Rfam family "Bacterial small subunit ribosomal RNA", at positions 28 to 507 of the family's 1533-position model. The record is from RNAcentral.